CCUACGGGUGGCAGCAGUAGGGAAUAUUGGGCAAUGGGCGCAAGCCUGACCCAGCCAUGCCGCGUGCAGGAGGAAGGCCCUCUGGGUUGUAAACUGCUUUUGGGAGGGGACAAAACACCGGUGCGCCGGGGAUUGAGUGUACCUCCAGAAUAAGCACCGGCUAACUCCGUGCCAGCAGCCGCGGUAAUACGGAGGGUGCGAGCGUUGUCCGGAUUUAUUGGGUUUAAAGGGUGCGUAGGCGGCCCCGUAAGUCUGCGGUGAAACCCACGGGCUCA
Molecule: ribosomal RNA, 275 nt
Filed under: uncultured bacterium
Lineage: Bacteria
Description: partial 16S ribosomal RNA
Rfam family: Bacterial small subunit ribosomal RNA
Source: RNAcentral